GCCAGCUGCCAAAUCACCCUGCAACUUUCCACUGGCAACCCACUGAAGUUAAUUAGGUGUGAGUCUGAUCAGUUCCUGGAUGGGAGACCUCUUGGGAAAGUUAAGGUUGCUGCUGGAA
This 118-nucleotide ribosomal RNA is filed under the name Lepisosteus oculatus (spotted gar). Lineage: Eukaryota; Metazoa; Chordata; Actinopteri; Semionotiformes; Lepisosteidae. The record is from RNAcentral.